RNAcentral lists this ribosomal RNA (253 nucleotides) under uncultured bacterium. Its description in RNAcentral is "partial 16S ribosomal RNA". It matches the Rfam family "Bacterial small subunit ribosomal RNA", at positions 524 to 776 of the family's 1533-position model. The record is from RNAcentral.
UACGUAGGGUCCGAGCGUUGUCCGGAAUUAUUGGGCGUAAAGCGCGUGUAGGCGGCCAGAAAAGUCCGCUGUGAAAACUCGAGGCUCAACUUCGAGCUGUCGGUGGAAACUUUCUGGCUAGAGUCCGGAAGAGGAGAAUGGAAUUCCUGGUGUAGCGGUGAAAUGCGCAGAUAUCAGGAAGAACACCCGUGGCGAAGGCGGUUCUCUGGGACGGUACUGACGCUGAGACGCGAAAGCGUGGGGAGCGAACAGG